This is a long non-coding RNA of Ruditapes philippinarum (Manila clam), 607 nucleotides long. RefSeq lists it as uncharacterized. NCBI's taxonomy places the organism in Eukaryota, Metazoa, Mollusca, Bivalvia, Venerida, Veneridae. The transcript is spliced from 3 exons. The record is from RefSeq and is a predicted model, not a curated record.
GACUACCGGUAUUGUACAAAGCUGACAGAAGCUUGUCUUUCCAGUCAGGGGCAAAUGUCGAAAUGUGAACUGCUUCGAAUACUCAGGCGACAAUGUGUAUGUUGCGGUUACAACAAACUCUGAUGAUGUGUAGGUGAAGAUGCGUCUUCAUAUAUGUUACACAAAACCUGAUCCUAAUGCGGAUGCAAGAGUAACAUAUCCUUUAAUACAAAACGGAUGUGUGGUAGAUCCCGAAACUCAUAUUUUUUCACAAGGAACACACGAGACCCGGUUUGUCUUCAGUGCAUUUGAAUUCCCCCAGACUCAUAACAGCGUGUAUAUUUUCUGUAACUCCACGUUCUGUAAGACUACGGACACUAGCGACAUGUGCACGCAAAUUUGUCACGGCUCACCGUCACUUAUGGGACGCUCACUGUGGACAUUGGAAUCAGAGCGCGAGAAAAAAUCAAAUUACCUUAAUGUAUUUCCCUAAUACAUGUAUAAAUAAAAUGAUUAAUAUAAUUGACUUUGUUGAAUAUACUUUUGGUUAACCUGAUUUUAUUUUGAAGACCCUGUCGAAGUAGUGAAUUCAGGUAAACAGCAUCAGUACUUUUUGUAAUCCAGAAUC